ACACUAUCAUGGCCGCCAUCAUGAACUGGGCUGGGCCAAAUGGGAAAGCCCGGGGGGUGGGGGGCUGAAAGUGAAGUUCAAGGUGAGAGCGUUUCUCUUACAUGCAUAAGACUCUGGAGUCCAUUCACAGCGUGGGAAAAUUAAUUAUGAACAGCAUCUUCUGCCCCUAAGCAGAAAGAGCAGGCCCAUUUGUUCAGAAUGCCAGAACGUCGUAGCCGUCAGGUGUUGAGUCUCUGACUGCUGCUGGAAUGCUUUAUUUCGUAGAGGUCCUGCUGGAAGCCCUGUUCCUCUCCGUGGACCCUUACAUGAGAGUUGCAGCAAAAAAACUGAAGGAGGGCGACAGCAUGAUGGGUGAACAAGUGGCCAGAGUUGUGGAAAGUAAAAACUCAGCCUUCCCAACGGGAACGAUUGUUGUGGCUUUAUUAGGUUGGACAUCACAUUCCAUUUCUGAUGGGAAUGGACUGAGAAAGCUACCUGCAGAGUGGCCUGACAAGCUACCACUGUCUUUGGCUUUGGGGACAGUUGGCAUGCCAGGCCUCACUGCCUACUUUGGCCUGCUUGACAUCUGUGGC
This 572-nucleotide long non-coding RNA is filed under the name Rattus norvegicus (Norway rat). Its description in RNAcentral is "long non-coding RNA NONRATT023281". Lineage: Eukaryota; Metazoa; Chordata; Mammalia; Rodentia; Muridae. The record is from RNAcentral.